UACGAAGGGGGCUAGCGUUGUUCGGAUUUACUGGGCGUAAAGCGCACGUAGGCGGAUCGUUAAGUCGGGGGUGAAAUCCUGGAGCUCAACUCCAGAACUGCCUUCGAUACUGGCGAUCUCGAGUCCGGAAGAGGUGAGUGGAACUCCUAGUGUAGAGGUGGAAUUCGUAGAUAUUAGGAAGAACACCAGUGGCGAAGGCGGCUCACUGGUCCGGUACUGACGCCGAGGUGCGAAAGCGUGGGGAGCAAACAGG
RNAcentral lists this ribosomal RNA (253 nucleotides) under uncultured bacterium. RNAcentral describes it as "partial 16S ribosomal RNA". It matches the Rfam family "Bacterial small subunit ribosomal RNA", at positions 524 to 776 of the family's 1533-position model. The record is from RNAcentral.